Molecule: ribosomal RNA, 1019 nt
Filed under: Alteromonas sp.
Lineage: Bacteria; Pseudomonadati; Pseudomonadota; Gammaproteobacteria; Alteromonadales; Alteromonadaceae
Description: bacterial SSU rRNA
Rfam family: Bacterial small subunit ribosomal RNA
Source: RNAcentral
GGCAGGCCUAACACAUGCAAGUCGAACGGUAACAUUUCUAGCUUGCUAGAAGAUGACGAGUGGCGGACGGGUGAGUAAUGCUUGGGAACUUGCCUUUGCGAGGGGGAUAACAGUUGGAAACGACUGCUAAUACCGCAUAAUGUCUUCGGACCAAACGGGGCUUCGGCUCCGGCGCAAAGAGAGGCCCAAGUGAGAUUAGCUAGUUGGUAAGGUAACGGCUUACCAAGGCGACGAUCUCUAGCUGUUCUGAGAGGAAGAUCAGCCACACUGGGACUGAGACACGGCCCAGACUCCUACGGGAGGCAGCAGUGGGGAAUAUUGCACAAUGGGGGAAACCCUGAUGCAGCCAUGCCGCGUGUGUGAAGAAGGCCUUCGGGUUGUAAAGCACUUUCAGUUGUGAGGAAAAGUUAGUAGUUAAUACCUGCUAGCCGUGACGUUAACAACAGAAGAAGCACCGGCUAACUCCGUGCCAGCAGCCGCGGUAAUACGGAGGGUGCGAGCGUUAAUCGGAAUUACUGGGCGUAAAGCGCACGCAGGCGGUUUGUUAAGCUAGAUGUGAAAGCCCCGGGCUCAACCUGGGAUGGUCAUUUAGAACUGGCAGACUAGAGUCUUGGAGAGGGGAGUGGAAUUCCAGGUGUAGCGGUGAAAUGCGUAGAUAUCUGGAGGAACAUCAGUGGCGAAGGCGACUCCCUGGCCAAAGACUGACGCUCAUGUGCGAAAGUGUGGGUAGCGAACAGGAUUAGAUACCCUGGUAGUCCACACCGUAAACGCUGUCUACUAGCUGUGUGUGCCUUUAAGGCGUGCGUAGCGAAGCUAACGCGCUAAGUAGACCGCCUGGGGAGUACGGCCGCAAGGUUAAAACUCAAAUGAAUUGACGGGGGCCCGCACAAGCGGUGGAGCAUGUGGUUUAAUUCGAUGCACCGCGAAGAACCUUACCUACACUUGACAUGCUGAGAAGUUACUAGAGAUAGUUUCGUGCCUUCGGGAAUUCAGAACCAGGUGCUGCAUGGCUGUCGUCA